CAGGAUGAACGCGUGGCGGCGUGCUUAACACAUGCAAGUCGAACGGGUUACUCGCUGAAGCGAGCUUGCUCAAUUCUGAGUAAACCUAGUGGCGGACGGGUGAGUAACGCGUGGGUAACCUGCCAUGUACGUGGGGGAACAACGAGUUGGAAACGACUGCUAAUACCGCAUAAGCGCACGGUAUCGCAUGAUACAGUGUGAAAAAACUGAGGUGGUACAGGAUGGCUCCGCGUUGGAUUAGCCAGUUGCGGGUAACGGCCCACCAAAGCGACGAUCCAUAGCCGGCCUGAGAGGGUGAACGGCCACAUUGGGACUGAGACACGGCCCAGACUCCUACGGGAGGCAGCAGUGGGGAAUAUUUGCACAAUGGGGGAAACCCUGAUGCAAGCGACGCCGCGUGAAGGAAGGAAGUAUCUCGGUUAUGUAAACUUCUAUCAGCAAGGGAAGAUGAUGACGGUAACCUGACUAAGAAGCCCCGGCUAACUACGUGCCAGCCGCCGC
This 501-nucleotide ribosomal RNA is filed under the name uncultured bacterium. RNAcentral's name for it is "bacterial SSU rRNA". It matches the Rfam family "Bacterial small subunit ribosomal RNA", at positions 25 to 518 of the family's 1533-position model. The record is from RNAcentral.